UACAGAGGCCUCGAGCGUUAGGCGGAAUCACUGGGCUUAAAGCGCGUGUAGGCGGGUCGUUAAGUGUCCGAGUGAAAUCCCACGGCUCAACCGUGGAACUGCCGGGCAUACUGGCGAUCUUGAGGCAUUCAGGGGCGAGCGGAACAAAUGGUGGAGCGGUGAAAUGCGUAGAUAUCAUUUGGAACGCCAAUGGUGAAAACAGCUCGCUGGGAAUGAUCUGACGCUGAGACGCGAAAGCCAGGGGAGCGAACGGG
Molecule: ribosomal RNA, 254 nt
Filed under: uncultured bacterium
Lineage: Bacteria
Description: partial 16S ribosomal RNA
Rfam family: Bacterial small subunit ribosomal RNA
Source: RNAcentral